RNAcentral lists this ribosomal RNA (498 nucleotides) under uncultured bacterium. Its description in RNAcentral is "partial 16S ribosomal RNA". It matches the Rfam family "Bacterial small subunit ribosomal RNA", at positions 30 to 523 of the family's 1533-position model. The record is from RNAcentral.
AUUGAACGCUGGCGGCAUGCCUUACACAUGCAAGUCGAACGGUAACAGGUCUUCGGAUGCUGACGAGUGGCGAACGGGUGAGUAAUACAUCGGAACGUGCCUAGUGGUGGGGGAUAACUACUCGAAAGAGUGGCUAAUACCGCAUGAGAUCUACGGAUGAAAGCAGGGGAUCGCAAGACCUUGUGCUACUAGAGCGGCCGAUGGCAGCUUAGGUAGGUGGUGGGAUAAAAGCUUACCAAGCCGACGAUCUGUAGCUGGUCUGAGAGGACGAUCAGCGCCACUGGGAAGGAGACAAGGACCAGACUCCUACGGGAGGCAGCAGUGGGGAAUUUUGGACAAUGGGCGAAAGCCUGAUCCAGCAAUGCCGCGUGCAGGAUGAAGGCCUUCGGGUUGUAAACUGCUUUUGUACGGAACGAAAAGCCCCGGGUUAAUACCCUGGGGUCAUGACGGUACCGUAAGAAUAAGCACCGGCUAACUACGUGCCAGCAGCCGCAGUAA